This is a non-coding RNA of Octopus bimaculoides (California two-spot octopus), 107 nucleotides long. The record is from Rfam. Lineage: Eukaryota; Metazoa; Mollusca; Cephalopoda; Octopoda; Octopodidae.
AUACUAGCUACGGUGGUACAUAUUCUAAAAUCGGAAAGAUACAGAGAAGAUCAGCAUGGCCCCUGCGCAGGGAUGACUCGUAAAUUUGUGAAGCGUUCCUUAUUUUU